Molecule: ribosomal RNA, 405 nt
Filed under: uncultured Lactobacillus sp.
Lineage: Bacteria; Bacillati; Bacillota; Bacilli; Lactobacillales; Lactobacillaceae
Description: bacterial SSU rRNA
Rfam family: Bacterial small subunit ribosomal RNA
Source: RNAcentral
AGGUCUUGACAUCUAGUGCCAACCUAAGAGAUUAGGCGUUCCCUUCGGGGACACUAAGACAGGUGGUGCAUGGCUGUCGUCAGCUCGUGUCGUGAGAUGUUGGGUUAAGUCCCGCAACGAGCGCAACCCUUAUUAUUAGUUGCCAGCAUUAAGUUGGGCACUCUAAUGAGACUGCCGGUGACAAACCGGAGGAAGGUGGGGAUGACGUCAAGUCAUCAUGCCCCUUAUGACCUGGGCUACACACGUGCUACAAUGGGCAGUACAACGAGGAGCGAACUUGUGAAGGCAAGCGAAUCUCUGAAAGCUGUUCUCAGUUCGGACUGUAGGCUGCAACUCGCCUACACGAAGCUGGAAUCGCUAGUAAUCGCGGAUCAGCACGCCGCGGUGAAUACGUUCCCGGGCCUU